This 424-nucleotide ribosomal RNA is filed under the name Verrucomicrobiota bacterium. RNAcentral describes it as "Verrucomicrobia bacterium partial 16S ribosomal RNA". It matches the Rfam family "Bacterial small subunit ribosomal RNA", at positions 355 to 776 of the family's 1533-position model. The record is from RNAcentral. Lineage: Bacteria; Pseudomonadati; Verrucomicrobiota.
UGAGGAAUAUUGGUCAAUGGACGAGAGUCUGAACCAGCCAAGUAGCGUGCAGGAUGACGGCCCUAUGGGUUGUAAACUGCUUUUGUUUGGGAAUAAUCGACAUUACGUGUAAUGUUUUGCAUGUACCAUUCGAAUAAGGACCGGCUAAUUCCGUGCCAGCAGCCGCGGUAAUACGGAAGGUCCAGGCGUUAUCCGGAUUUAUUGGGUUUAAAGGGAGUGUAGGCGGUUGGUUAAGCGUGUUGUGAAAUGUAGAUGCUCAACAUCUGACUUGCAGCGCGAACUGGCUGACUUGAGUACACACAACGUAGGCGGAAUUCAUGGUGUGGCGGUGAAAUGCUUAGAUAUCAUGAAGAACUCCGAUUGCGAAGGCAGCUUACGGGAGUGUUACUGACGCUUAAGCUCGAAGGUGCGGGUAUCGAACAGG